GAGGAGUCUGCGUCCUAUCAGCUAGUUGGUGGGGUAAUAGCCUACCAAGGCGAUGACGGGUAGCUGGACUGAGAGGUCGAUCAGCCACGACUGCACUUAGACACGGGCAGUACACCUACGGGUGGCAGCAACCAGGAAUAUUGGGCAAUGGGGGAAACCCUGACCCAGCGACGCCGCGUGGAGGAUGACAGCCCUCGGGUUGUAAACUCCUUUUAAUAGACCCUUCACGGUCUAUAGAAUAAGCCUCUACUAACUACGUGCCAGAAGUCUCGGUAAUACGUAGGAGGCAAGCGUUAUCCGGAUUUAUUGGGCGUAAAGUGUGCGUAGGCGCCUUAAAAAGUCGUAUCUUAAAUACCAAGGCUUAACCUUGGAACUGGAUACGAUACUUUUAAGGUUGAGGAUUGUUAGGGAUGUCGGAACAGCUAGUGUAGCAGUGAAAUGCGUUGAUAUUAGCUGGAACACCAAAGGCGAAGGCAGACAUCUGGGAUUUUCCUGACGCUGAGGCACGAAAGCUAGGGUAGCGAAACAGAUUAGAU
This 536-nucleotide ribosomal RNA is filed under the name uncultured bacterium. RNAcentral describes it as "bacterial SSU rRNA". It matches the Rfam family "Bacterial small subunit ribosomal RNA", at positions 224 to 783 of the family's 1533-position model. The record is from RNAcentral.